UCCGUCCCGUCGUGGGACUUUUUGCCCUCCAGUUCCCGGGUCCCUCAGGUGGCCACCCCAGUGGGCACACGCCCAGGCGCCGCUCCUGCCCCGCGCUCCCUCCCUCUGCCUUUCACUUCCCAGCUGCCAAGAUCUUGGAAGCUUUGAAGCUCAGCAAAGAAGGAAAAUCCAUUGAGAACAGUCUGUAAAGCAUAUUAAAAUUGGAUCCCAAGAUCCUUUGUGGAAGAGCCUUGGCACCCUGACUCACCUUAUAUUGAGCCAACAUGACAGAAAAAUACAUCAUUUUUCUCUACCGUGAAAGGAAACAAGUGUGAAAAUAAUGGGAAAGAUGUGCAGUUUAAAACAAAG
Molecule: long non-coding RNA, 348 nt
Filed under: Canis lupus dingo (dingo)
Lineage: Eukaryota; Metazoa; Chordata; Mammalia; Carnivora; Canidae
Description: lncRNA (ENSCAFG00020010224.1)
Source: RNAcentral